RNAcentral lists this ribosomal RNA (461 nucleotides) under uncultured Anoxybacillus sp. RNAcentral describes it as "bacterial SSU rRNA". It matches the Rfam family "Bacterial small subunit ribosomal RNA", at positions 923 to 1382 of the family's 1533-position model. The record is from RNAcentral. Lineage: Bacteria; Bacillati; Bacillota; Bacilli; Caryophanales; Anoxybacillaceae.
GCACAAGCGGUGGAGCACGUGGUUUAAUUCGAAGCAACGCGAAGAACCUUACCAGGUCUUGACAUCCCCUGACAACCCGAGAGAUCGGGCGUUCCCCUUCGGGGGACAGGGUGACAGGGUGGUGCAUGGUUGUCGUCAGCUCGUGUCGUGAGAUGUUGGGUUAAGUCCCGCAACGAGCGCAACCCUCGACCUUAGUUGCCAGCAUUCAGUUGGGCACUCUAAGGUGACUGCCGGCUAAAAGUCGGAGGAAGGUGGGGAUGACGUCAAAUCGUCAUGCCCCUUAUGACCUGGGCUACACACGUGCUACAAUGGGCGGUACAAAGGGUCGCGAACCCGCGAGGGGGAGCCAAUCCCAAAAAGCCGCUCUCGGUUCGGAUUGCAGGCUGCAACUCGCCUGCAUGAAGCCGGAAUCGCUAGUAAUCGCGGAUCAGCAUGCCGCGGUGAAUACGUUCCCGGGCCUU